Antechinus flavipes (yellow-footed antechinus) is the source of this 1323-nucleotide long non-coding RNA. RefSeq lists it as uncharacterized. Lineage: Eukaryota; Metazoa; Chordata; Mammalia; Dasyuromorphia; Dasyuridae. The transcript is spliced from 2 exons. The record is from RefSeq and is a predicted model, not a curated record.
UUAAAUACCAAAAAAAAAAAAAAAAACGUGGCUACAAUCAGCUGCUGAGAGGAUCUCUCCGGUUUAGUUCCUGCCAAUUUCCCUCGGAGCUGGCACUGCAGGGGACUCCAGAGGCAUAGAGAAGGAAGAGGUGAGGGAGGGUGAUUUGGGAAGGGAGGAGAAAUGGACACAUGCCAUCGAUGGAGCGACAAGGCUCUUGCUGCCAAAGUGCCAGCAGGCAGCAUGGGGCCAAAAAAAAAACCCAACAAAACAAAACCCACAACAAAUAGCUGGCAACUCCUCCUGAAGCAGGCGGCGUCUGAGUUGGCAGAGGUGCCAUGGAGGACAAGGCUGCAGCAUGCAGGCGAACCCGGAGAGUGAGCAAGCAAGCCGGGAGAGAUGUGGCGACAUAUGCAGCGCAGGGUGACCUGGUAGCAUGAGACAGAAGAAGAGCUGGCGUUCAAAGGAUGCCUCAGAUGAAAAGUGAUGGAUCCUACAUAUAAGUGUGUGUGAUUCUGAGUCCUGUGAUUCUGAGAUUCCUGAGAAGCAUGACAAGUCAGUUUCUAUUCUAAGGGCCAGAGGAGUCGUGUAAAGUCCUUGGCUAGGCUGAGGACAUGUGGUUUUACGGUUCUUUCUAUCUCGGACUUCUUCAUCGGGAUCUCACUUUGGGCUAUGGAGUUUGUGGUUUGCUACCUUUGGAGCUGCUGCUGAUCCAGGGAACUGCUGCUGCUUCUGUCUCCUGACCUGUAUUGCUUCUCUAAAAUGUGCUCAGACCCACCACUCGCCAUUGGAGAAGGUAUUUAGCCUGGAUCCACGGAGCUCUGGCCCAAUGCAGGAUCUUUGUCACAGAUUCUGCUCCUCUGCUACCUGGCUGCUCCUGCUUCCUUUGGAAUAGAAUUCCGAGAUUCAUGGAGCCUCCUGAGACUUGGCUCCCUGGGCCCUGUGUGUGCUUUUUUCCAGGGGCUGGGUUCGGGCACAUCUGGCUGCUGUCAGACUUUGAAAUCUUUGGCUCACGUUCCUGGGGCAGCUGGGAGCAAGACUCAGGCUACAUGGUAGGGGAGGGGAGAGAUGAUGGGCACUGCCCCCCCAGGGAUGAUCUCAGGGAAGAGGAGUUUUUGGCCAUUGCCGACAGUGCCCUCCCUCCCCCUUCACACAGUGGAAGCCAUCUCCAUUAUGGUCUGCAAUCUCUUCUGGGCUCUUGGGGCUGAGGCAGCAGCCAAGGAGGGGGCCAGCACACAGGGGGUUAACCGCUGAUUACAGCCUUUGUCUCUGCAUCAGUGUACAUAAUGCGCUCCUCAUUUGCAUACUGCAGUGUGCGCUCAAUUAAAAUGAACUUUUAAUUUC